UACGUAGGGGGCAAGCGUUGUCCGGAAUCAUUGGGCGUAAAGAGCGUGUAGGCGGCCUGAUAAGUCCGCUGUGAAAGUCCAGGGCUCAACCCUGGAAUGCCGGUGGAAACUGUCAGGCUCGAGUCCGGAAGAGGCGAGUGGAAUUCCUGGUGUAGCGGUGAAAUGCGCAGAUAUCAGGAGGAACACCAAUGGCGAAGGCAGCUCGCUGGGACGGUACUGACGCUGAGACGCGAAAGCGUGGGGAGCGAACAGG
RNAcentral lists this ribosomal RNA (253 nucleotides) under uncultured bacterium. Its description in RNAcentral is "partial 16S ribosomal RNA". It matches the Rfam family "Bacterial small subunit ribosomal RNA", at positions 524 to 776 of the family's 1533-position model. The record is from RNAcentral.